AAUUCUUUACUGUUAAUAUUAAAGAUUACUGAGUUAUCAAGGGGUUAGCGGCUUGUUUUGUUUAGCAGAUGUUUCCAUGGCGCGGGCGGCUCUUGGGGGGGGCGGUCGUUUGGGAGUUUUUCUUUCUUCUCGUUGGUAAAGAUAAAAGCAUACAGCAUAGUAUUGAAAGAGCAACAGGUUAGCCAUUCAUCUGUGCACUUUUUAGAUAUUAAGAUAGAAGUAAGAAAAAAGAAUUUAGACACCAGUCUACAGAGAACCAGCCUGAGAGCCUGUUAUUAUACCCAGGUGGUCUCAGACCCAAUUACAUAGAAAAUGUCAGUGUUUAAUUAUUAUUUUAGGAGGACCAACACUUAUAUCACCAACAAAUAUGACAUGAAAAAAGAGGUCAAUUAUAUUUAUGAAAUAGGAUGGCAGUAUGGAUACAGUAGACGUUUUUUAGAAGCAAUCUAUUGUAAAGUACAGCAAUCCUCUUCAGGUAGAAAAAAGCUGCUGAAGAACCAAAAGACAGAGAUUACAAACCAGUCCCAUAUGCAAUGAAAAAUUACAAUAUUACUAAAAAAAAUUAGUUAAAAAAGGGUAAUACAAAAUUAACUUAUAAACGAGUCCUGACAUUGUUCAACCAACUUAGAAAUGAAAAAGACCUAAAGGAGAACAAACAGCAAUCUGGGGUAUAUAAAAUAUCUGUUAAGAAUAACACAAUAGGCCAGAAUGAAACAUACAUAGGCAUAAUAACAAAGUCAUUAAACCAAAGACUCUGCGAGCAUAAAAGAGACGUUGCUAAUAAAAAAUUUAAUAUGGCCUUGGCAAUAUAUGCUUACAAAAAUGAUGUGGAAGUGAAUUGGCAGAAAGCUGAAAUAAUACAAACUAUAAGAAAAGAUGAGCAUGCGACCCUAGCUGAAACCAUGGAAAUCUUUACCAAUGAGAAGAGGGAGAGGCUCCUAAAUGGCCGCUCUCCCCAGGAGUUGCCCGUGCCGUGGAGGUGUCUACUGAACGAAAUGAGCAGAU
This 1005-nucleotide long non-coding RNA is filed under the name Androctonus crassicauda. Lineage: Eukaryota; Metazoa; Arthropoda; Arachnida; Scorpiones; Buthidae. The record is from RNAcentral.